CAGCAGCCGCGGGAAUACGAAGGGUGCAAGCGUUACUCGGAAUUACUGGGCGUAAAGCGCACGUAGGCGGAUCGAUCAGUCAGGGGUGAAAUCCCAGGGCUCAACCCUGGAACUGCCUUUGAUACUGUCGAUCUGGAGUAUGGAAGAGGUGAGUGGAAUUCCGAGUGUAGAGGUGAAAUUCGUAGAUAUUCGGAGGAACACCAGUGGCGAAGGCGGCUCACUGGUCCAUUACUGACGCUGAGGUGCGAAAGCGUGGGGAGCAAACAGGAUUAGAUACCCCCGUAGUCCCUGUCUCUUAUAC
Molecule: ribosomal RNA, 301 nt
Filed under: uncultured bacterium
Lineage: Bacteria
Description: partial 16S ribosomal RNA
Rfam family: Bacterial small subunit ribosomal RNA
Source: RNAcentral